GAUGGAGUCUUGCUCUGUUGCCCAGGCUGGAGUGCAGUGGUGCGAUCUCGGCUCACUGCAAGCUCUGCCUCCUGGAUUCACGCCAUUCUCCUGCCUUAGCCUCCUGAGUACCUGGGACUACAGGCACCCACCACCACGCCCAGCUAAUUUUUUGUAUUUUUAGUAGAGACGGGGUUUCACCGUGUUAGACAGGAUGGUCUCGAUCUCCUGACCUCAUGAUCUGCCCGCCUCGGCUUCCCAAAAUGCUGGGAUUACAGGCAUGAGCCACCGCGCCCGGCCUUUUCAGUUUUUAUUAUUUUCUACAGUCUGGACCAAAUUCUAUUUUUUCUUGGUUACAAGUCUUCAAGAUAAUGUUUUCAAUUUUUUUCCUUCUUUUUUCCCCCAUUUUUCCUAAUUAGGAGUCAUUGAAAACUAAGCGUGCUUUCAUAAAGCCCUGUGAACUGAAGUCAGACAACUUAAACUUUAGAAGAAAAUAACAGCAACCCAUUUACAUACAUAAACCACUUUCAAACCUGCCUACUGAUUAUGGACUUCAGAGUAAUAUGGCUUAUACCAAUUUUCCAGGAUUGUUCUUUUGUUUGUUGUUGUUGUUUGUUUGUUUUUUGUUUUUUUGAGACGGAGUUUCACUCUGCCGCCCAGACUGGAGUGCAGUGGCGCAAUCUCAGCUCACUGCUGCCUCUGCUCCUGGGUUCAAGCAAUUCUCCUGCCUCAGCCUCCUGAGUAACUAGGACUACUAGUUACUAGUUAGUUGUCGUAAUUACUAAUGCCCGGCUAAUUUUUUGUGUUUUUAAUAGAGACAGGGUUUCACCAUGUUGUCCAGGCUGGUGUUGAACUCCUGACCUCAGAUGAUCUGCCCGCCUCGGCCUCCCAAAGUGCUGGUAUUACAGGCGUGAGCUACCACACCCAGCCUGUUGUUGUUUUUCUCCCUAUUUUCACUUCCUAGGAUGUGAAACUUCACAACCUGCUAAAAAUGAACUUUCCUAAUAAUUCAGGACCUAACCAUCUAGAAAUAAACCAACCGAGCCAUAAGAGAUCAGACGAAACCUGAGACCAGAGACUCAUUUUCUUCUGAAAUGCUUUCUCCAAAAGAUUUUUAAAAAGAAAAGGGGGGGAAUGUGAAAGGAAAUAAAUCUUGGGACCCCAAAAUCACUAAGCUAAAGGGAGAAGUCAAGCUGGGAACUGCUUAGGGCAAACCUACCUCCCAUUCUAUUCAAAGUCACCCUUCUGCUCACCGAGAUGAAUGCAUAUCUGAUUCCCUCCUUUGGAGAGGCUCAUCAGAAACUCAAAAGAAUGCAACCAUUUGUCUCUUAUCUACCUAGGAUCUGGAAGCCCCCUCACCACUUCAAGUUGUCCCACUUUUUCUUCGAGUUGUUGUCCCCGCUUUCUGGACCAAACCAAUGUUCAUCCUACAUAUGAUGAUUGAUGUCUCAUGCCUCCCUAAAAUGUAUAAAACCAAACUGCACUCUGACCACCUUGGGCACAUGUCAUCAGGACCUCCUGAGGCUGUGUCAUGGGUACAUGUCCUCAACCUUGGCAAAAUAAAAUUUCUAAAUUAACCGAGAC
This 1563-nucleotide long non-coding RNA is filed under the name Homo sapiens (human). RNAcentral describes it as "non-protein coding lnc-PGRMC1-3:1". Lineage: Eukaryota; Metazoa; Chordata; Mammalia; Primates; Hominidae. The record is from RNAcentral.